UACCCGCUGAACUUAAGCAUAUCAAUAAGCGGAGGAAAAGAAACCAACAGGGAUUACCUUAGUAACGGCGAGUGAAGCGGUAAAAGCUCAAAUUUGAAAUCUUCGGAAUUGUAAUUUGAUGGAUAAAAUUGCUAACUGACAAAAGUCCAUUGGAAGAUGGCGCCAUAGAGGGUGAUAGCCCCGUUAUUGUCAACUUGCACUAUAAUUUUAUUCCAAAGAGUCGGGUUGUUUGGGAAUGCAGCUCAAAGUGGGUGGUAAAUUCCAUCUAAAGCUAAAUAUUGACGAGAGACCGAUAGCGAACAAGUACAGUGAUGGAAAGAUGAAAAGAACUUUGAAAAGAGAGUGAAACAGUACGUGAAAUUGUUGAAAGGGAAGGGGAGGGAAGAUGUUAAAGGAACUCCUUGCUUUUGCAGGGAUUCCCCCAAGAGUCUUUCCUCUCGCCCGUCUUGAA
Molecule: ribosomal RNA, 451 nt
Filed under: Metschnikowia mauinuiana
Lineage: Eukaryota; Fungi; Ascomycota; Pichiomycetes; Serinales; Metschnikowiaceae
Description: LSU rRNA
Rfam family: Eukaryotic large subunit ribosomal RNA
Source: RNAcentral